Molecule: ribosomal RNA, 446 nt
Filed under: uncultured microorganism
Description: bacterial SSU rRNA
Rfam family: Bacterial small subunit ribosomal RNA
Source: RNAcentral
UGGCUGCAGUGGGGAAUUUUGGACAAUGGGCGAAAGCCUGAUCCAGCAAUACCGCGUGAGGGACGAAGGUCUUCGGAUUGUAAACCUCUUUUAGGGGGAACGAAUGUCCACCUUUGGUGGAUUGACGGUACUCCCAGAAUAAGCCACGGCUAACUACGUGCCAGCAGCCGCGGUAAUACGUAGGUGGCAAGCGUUACUCGGAAUUAUUAGGCGUAAAGCGCGGGUAGGUGGUUUGAUAAGUUGGAAGUGAAAGCCCCACCAAAAGUGGGGAGGUCUUCCAAAACUAUUGAACUUGAGUAUAGGAGGGGGGAUUGGAAUUCCUGGUGUAGCGGUGAAAUGCGUAGAUAUCAGGAGGAACACCGAUGGCGAAAGCGAAUUCCUGGCCUAUUACUGACACUAAUCUGCGAAAGCAUGGGGAGCAAACAGGAUUAGAUACCCUAGUAGUC